UAAUACGAAGGUCCCGAGCGUUAUCCGGAUUUAUUGGGUUUAAAGGGUGCGUAGGCGGGUUAUUAAGUCAGUGGUGAAAGCCUUCAGCUCAACUGAAGAACUGCCAUUGAUACUGAUGAUCUUGAGUAUGAUUGAGGUAGGCGGAAUGUGUCAUGUAGCGGUGAAAUGCUUAGAUAUGACACAGAACACCGAUUGCGAAGGCAGCUUACUAAGUCAUAACUGACGCUGAUGCACGAAAGCGUGGGGAGCAAACAGGAUUAGAUACCCUGGUAGUCCACGCCCUAAACGAUGAUCACUCGAUGUGUGCGAUACACUGUACGCGUCUGAGCGAAAGCAUUAAGUGAUCCACCUGGGGAGUACGACCGCAAGGUUG
This 373-nucleotide ribosomal RNA is filed under the name uncultured bacterium. RNAcentral describes it as "bacterial SSU rRNA". It matches the Rfam family "Bacterial small subunit ribosomal RNA", at positions 521 to 896 of the family's 1533-position model. The record is from RNAcentral.